AUUGAACGCUGGCGGCAUGCCUUACACAUGCAAGUCGAACGGCAGCACGGGAGUAAUCCUGGUGGCGAGUGGCGAACGGGUGAGUAAUGUAUCGGAACGUGCCCAGUCGUGGGGGAUAACGCAGCGAAAGCUGUGCUAAUACCGCAUACGAUCUAUGGAUGAAAGCGGGGGAUCGCAAGACCUCGCGCGACUGGAGCGGCCGAUAUCAGAUUAGCUAGUUGGAGGGGUAAAGGCUCACCAAGGCGACGAUAUGUAGCUGGUCUGAGAGGACGACCAGCCACACUGGAACUGAGACACGGUCCAGACUCCUACGGGAGGCAGCAGUGGGGAAUUUUGGACAAUGGGCGCAAGCCUGAUUCAGCAAUGCCGCGUGCAGGAUGAAGGCCUUCGGGUUGUAAACUGCUUUUGUACAGAACGAAAAGCUCUGGGUUAAUACCCUGGGGUCAUGACGGUACUGUAAGAAUAAGCACCGGCUAACUACGUGCCAGCCGCCGCAGUAA
This 500-nucleotide ribosomal RNA is filed under the name uncultured bacterium. RNAcentral's name for it is "partial 16S ribosomal RNA". It matches the Rfam family "Bacterial small subunit ribosomal RNA", at positions 30 to 523 of the family's 1533-position model. The record is from RNAcentral.